Molecule: ribosomal RNA, 276 nt
Filed under: Triticum aestivum (bread wheat)
Lineage: Eukaryota; Viridiplantae; Streptophyta; Magnoliopsida; Poales; Poaceae
Description: partial small subunit ribosomal RNA
Source: RNAcentral
GCCGAGGACAAGCUUCUUUGCGAGUGUUGGCGAGACAUUGGACAAGACCCAAAGACGGGCGCUGAGCAAAAGCAUUCAACCUUUUGAACUCGUGUGCACAGCGAGUUUCAUGAGCGUAAGAAGUUUCCACCUUACCAAUUUGUGAGCACGUGCGGGUGGGUCUCCAUUUCCAAGCGGUGGAGGGUGAUCCAACAAGAGUGCAACAAGUUUGCGCCACCCUUGAGAGUGUCAAGGCCCGCCCUCGUGAGCGGCAUCGGCGUGCAAGACAUGGUAUGA